This 460-nucleotide ribosomal RNA is filed under the name uncultured bacterium. RNAcentral describes it as "partial 16S ribosomal RNA". It matches the Rfam family "Bacterial small subunit ribosomal RNA", at positions 338 to 795 of the family's 1533-position model. The record is from RNAcentral.
CCUACGGGCGGCAGCAGUGAGGAAUAUUGGUCAAUGGGCGUAAGCCUGAACCAGCCAAGUCGCGUGAGGGAUGAAGGUUCUAUGGAUCGUAAACCUCUUUUAUAAGGGAAUAAAGUGUGGGACGUGUCCUAUAUUGUACGUACCUUAUGAAUAAGGAUCGGCUAACUCCGUGCCAGCAGCCGCGGUAAUACGGAGGGUCCGAGCGUUAUCCGGAUUUAUUGGGUUUAAGGGGUGCGUAGGCGGCCUUUUAAGUCAGCGGUGAAAGUCUGUGGCUAAACCAUAGAAUUGCCGUUGAAACUGGGGGGCUUGAGUAUGUUUGAGGCAGGCGGAAUGCGUGGUGUAGCGGUGAAAUGCUUAGAUAUCACGCAGAACCCCGAUGGCGAAGGCAGCCUGCCAGGCCAUGACUGACGCUGAUGCACGAAAGCGUGGGGAUCAAACAGGAUUAGAUACCCCAGUAGUC